GCAAAUCCGGCGUGCUAAUACAUGCAAGUCGAGCGGACAGAUGGGAGCUUGCUCCCUGAUGUUAGCGGCGGACGGGUGAGUAACACGUGGGUAACCUGCCUGUAAGACUGGGAUAACUCCGGGAAACCGGGGCUAAUACCGGAUGGUUGUCUGAACCGCAUGGUUCAGACAUAAAAGGUGGCUUCGGCUACCACUUACAGAUGGACCCGCGGCGCAUUAGCUAGUUGGUGAGGUAACGGCUCACCAAGGCGACGAUGCGUAGCCGACCUGAGAGGGUGAUCGGCCACACUGGGACUGAGACACGGCCCAAACUCCUACGGGAGGCAGCAGUAGGGAAUCUUCCGCAAUGGACGAAAGUCUGACGGAGCAACGCCGCGUGAGUGAUGAAGGUUUUCGGAUCGUAAAGCUCUGUUGUUAGGGAAGAACUAUUGCCGUUCAAAUAGGGCAGCACCUUGACGGUACCUAACCAAAAUGCCACCGCUA
This 483-nucleotide ribosomal RNA is filed under the name Bacillus velezensis. Its description in RNAcentral is "bacterial SSU rRNA". It matches the Rfam family "Bacterial small subunit ribosomal RNA", at positions 39 to 499 of the family's 1533-position model. The record is from RNAcentral. Lineage: Bacteria; Bacillati; Bacillota; Bacilli; Caryophanales; Bacillaceae.